This is a non-coding RNA of Rhodnius prolixus, 119 nucleotides long. The record is from Rfam. Lineage: Eukaryota; Metazoa; Arthropoda; Insecta; Hemiptera; Reduviidae.
GCCAACGGCCAUACCAUGUUGAAUACACCGGUUCUCGUCCGAUCACCGAAGUUAAGCAACAUCGGGCGUGGUUAGUACCUGGAUGGGUGACCGCCUGGGAACACCCCGUGCUGCUGGCA